Molecule: long non-coding RNA, 373 nt
Organism: Oncorhynchus tshawytscha (Chinook salmon)
Lineage: Eukaryota; Metazoa; Chordata; Actinopteri; Salmoniformes; Salmonidae
Source: Ensembl
CUAGUGGUUAGAGCGUCGGGCCAGGUAGCCUAGUGGUUAGAGCGUCGGGCCAGGUAGUCUAGUGGUUAGAGCGUCGGGCCAGGUAGCCUAGUGGUUAGAGCGUCGGGCCAGUAGUGAAAAGUUGCUUGAUUGAAUCUCAGAGCUGGCAAGUUAAAUAUCUGUCGUUCUUCCCUUGAACGAGGCCGUUUAACCCACUGUUCCCUGUCUGCCGACGAUGUCGAUUUAAGGCAGCCCCCCCCCCCCGUACCUCUGAUUCAGAGGUGUUGGGGGGUUCAAUGCGGAAGACGCAUUUCAGUUGGAGGCAUUUAGUUGUACAACUGACUAGGUAUCCCCUCCCUUUCCCCUUUCAAGUAACCCAGGUUGUCUGUAUCCC